AGUGAACGCUGGCGGUAGGCCCAACACAUGCAAGUCGAACGGCAGCACAGGAGAACUUGCUCUCUGGGUGGCGAGUGGCGGACGGGGGAGGAAUACAUCGGAAUCUACUUUUUCGUGGGGGAUAACGUAGGGAAACUUACGCUAAUACCGCAUACGACCUACGGGUGAAAGCAGGGGACCUUCGGGCCUUGCGCGAUUGAAUGAGCCGAUGUCGGAUUAGCUAGUUGGCGGGGUAAAGGCCCACCAAGGCGACGAUCCGUAGCUGGUCUGAGAGGAUGAUCAGCCACACUGGAACUGAGACACGGUCCAGACUCCUACGGGAGGCAGCAGUGGGGAAUAUUGGACAAUGGGCGCAAGCCUGAUCCAGCCAUACCGCGUGGGUGAAGAAGGCCUUCGGGUUGUAAAGCCCUUUUGUUGGGAAAGAAAUCCAGCUGGCUAAUACCCGGUUGGGAUGACGGUACCCAAAGAAUAAGCACCGGCUAACUUCGUGCCAGCCGCCGCGGUAA
RNAcentral lists this ribosomal RNA (506 nucleotides) under uncultured bacterium. RNAcentral's name for it is "partial 16S ribosomal RNA". It matches the Rfam family "Bacterial small subunit ribosomal RNA", at positions 29 to 523 of the family's 1533-position model. The record is from RNAcentral.